Molecule: ribosomal RNA, 490 nt
Filed under: uncultured bacterium
Lineage: Bacteria
Description: bacterial SSU rRNA
Rfam family: Bacterial small subunit ribosomal RNA
Source: RNAcentral
AACAAACGCUGGCGGCGUGUCUUAAGCAUGCAAGUUGAGCGGCAAGGAGGAGAGAUCCUCCCUAGAGCAGCGGACUGGUGAGUAACGCGUGGGUAAUCUAUCUUAGGCAUGGGGAUAGUCACUAGAAAUAGUGGGUAAUACCGAAUAAGUUCCAUAAGGGGAGGACUUAUGGAAGAAAGGUGCUACGGCACUGGCCUUAGGUGAGCUCGCGUCCCAUUAGCUAGUUGGUGAGGUAAAGGCCCACCAAGGCGAUGAUGGGUAGCCGGCCUGAGAGGGUGUACGGCCACACUGGGACUGAGAUACGGCCCAGACUCCUACGGGAGGCAGCAGCUAAGAAUAUUCCGCAAUGGACGGAAGUCUGACGGAGCGACGCCGCGCGGAUGAAGAAGGCCGAAAGGUUGUAAAGUUCUUUUGCUAGGGGAGAAUAAGUGUGGGAGGGAAUGCCUGCACGAUGACAAGGACUAGCGAAUAAGUCCCGGCCAACUACGUG